CCUACGGGAGGCAGCAGUGGGGAAUAUUGGACAAUGGGCGAAAGCCUGAUCCAGCAAUGCCGCGUGAGUGAUGAAGGCCUUAGGGUUGUAAAGCUCUUUUACCAGGGAUGAUAAUGACAGUACCUGGAGAAUAAGCUCCGGCUAACUCCGUGCCAGCAGCCGCGGUAAUACGGAGGGAGCUAGCGUUGUUCGGAAUUACUGGGCGUAAAGCGUACGUAGGCGGUUAUUCAAGUCAGAGGUGAAAGCCUGGAGCUCAACUCCAGAACUGCCUUUGAAACUAGAUAGCUAGAAUCUUGGAGAGGUGAGUGGAAUUCCGAGUGUAGAGGUGAAAUUCGUAGAUAUUCGGAAGAACACCAGUGGCGAAGGCGACUCACUGGACAAGUAUUGACGCUGAGGUACGAAAGCGUGGGGAGCAAACAGGAUUAGAUACCCUGGUAGUCCACGCCGUAAACGAUGAUAACUAGCUGUUCGGGCUCUACGAGCUUGAGUGGCGCNGCUACGACAUUAAGUUAUUCCGUCCGUCGGGGUAGGUACGGUCGGCGAGAAGUUAAACUACGUAAAGAAAGUUAGUAGGCGUUGAGACGUUGCCGACGGACGACGACGAGGGGAGGUUAGG
Molecule: ribosomal RNA, 616 nt
Filed under: uncultured bacterium
Lineage: Bacteria
Description: bacterial SSU rRNA
Rfam family: Bacterial small subunit ribosomal RNA (bases 1-519)
Source: RNAcentral